GUCGAACGAUGAUGCCCUGCUUGCUGGGUGGAUUAGUGGCGAACGGGUGAGUAACACGUGAGUAACCUGCCCCUGACUCUGGGAUAAGCGUUGGAAACGACGUCUAAUACUGGAUAUGAUCACUGGCCGCAUGGUCUGGUGGUGGAAAGAUUUUUUGGUUGGGGAUGGACUCGCGGCCUAUCAGCUUGUUGGUGAGGUAAUGGCUCACCAAGGCGACGACGGGUAGCCGGCCUGAGAGGGUGACCGGCCACACUGGGACUGAGACACAGCCCACACUCCUACGGGAGGCAGCAGUGGGGAAUAUUGCACAAUGGGCGAAAGCCUGAUGCAGCAACGCCGCGUGAGGGAUGACGGCCUUCUGGUUGUAAACCUCUUUUAGUAGGGAAGAAGCGAAAGUGACGGUACCUGCAGAAGAAGCACCGGCUAACUACCUGCCAGCAGCCGCGGUAAUUCGUAGGGUGCAAGCGUUGUCCGGAAUUAUUGGGCGUAAAGAGCUCGUAGGCGGUUUGUCGCGUCUGCUGUGAAAUCCCGAGGCU
Molecule: ribosomal RNA, 536 nt
Filed under: bacterium 69-L049658-122-015-E09
Lineage: Bacteria
Description: bacterial SSU rRNA
Rfam family: Bacterial small subunit ribosomal RNA
Source: RNAcentral